Molecule: ribosomal RNA, 481 nt
Filed under: uncultured bacterium
Lineage: Bacteria
Description: bacterial SSU rRNA
Rfam family: Bacterial small subunit ribosomal RNA
Source: RNAcentral
GACGAACGCUGGCGGCGUGCCUAAUACAUGCAAGUCGAGCGGGGCUUGAGGAGGGCUUGCCCUUCGUGAGCCCAGCGGCGGACGGGUGAGUAACACGUGGGUAACCUGCCCGUAAGACCGGGAUAACUCCGGGAAACCGGGGCUAAUACCGGAUAACACCGGGGGCCGCAUGGCUUCCGGUUGAAAGGCGGCCUUUGGCUGCCACUUACGGAUGGGCCCGCGGCGCAUUAGCUGGUUGGCGGGGUAACGGCCCACCAAGGCGACGAUGCGUAGCCGGCCUGAGAGGGUGGACGGCCACACUGGGACUGAGGCACGGCCCAGACUCCUACGGGAGGCAGCAGUAGGGAAUCUUCCGCAAUGGGCGAAAGCCUGACGGAGCGACGCCGCGUGAGCGAGGAAGGCCUUCGGGUCGUAAAGCUCUGUUGUCAGGGAAGAAGGCGCGCCGUUCGAAUAGGGCGGCGCGGUGACGGUACCUGACGAG